This 1269-nucleotide unclassified non-coding RNA is filed under the name Hevea brasiliensis (rubber tree). The record is from RNAcentral. Lineage: Eukaryota; Viridiplantae; Streptophyta; Magnoliopsida; Malpighiales; Euphorbiaceae.
UAAUGAUAAAAAAAAGCCAAACAUAUUUGUGUUUUUUCAAUUUAUUAACAACUUUUAAUUUUGACAAUUUUAUUUCAAUUGCCCACGUAGUUCUAUUUCUAACUUUUUCCGACACAACCUUGAACUCCAUUUUCUGAUUGAUCCAUGGCCACACAUGACAAUCUGACCCCCAACACUACCAACAACUCUUUCAAAGUUUUAUCUUGACACCCAUAGUGCAUAAAAAAAAAAAAAAUGAAGGUUGGGAGGUGGAGGUGCUGUUGUUGGUGGCAGUGGUGAUGUUAGAUGGUGAUGGGCGGCUGUGAAUCAGACUGAAAAUGGAGUUGAUGGUUUAGUUGGAAAAAUAAAAAUAUGAAUAUAAUUGGAACUACGUUUGAAAAUUCGGAUAAAGUUGCCAAAAUUAAAAGCUGUGGAUAAAAUUGAAAAAUCUCGAAAAGGUUUGGCUUUUUUUGGCCAUUAGUCCUUCUAUUCUUCUAAGAAAUUUGUAUUUUGAGGUUGUGUAGCAAGUUAAUGGGUCAAUGAGGAGAUGAUCAGUAGAUGUAUACACUUUGUGAAUGAUGUAAACAAUCCAGGAAGUGUUCAAUUUCAAAUUUGUUUAUACGUAGCUCUUCUAAUUGUGCCGCAAACUUGUAACCGUUCCAAAAAUUUUUCGUCUAGACUGAGGCUUGACAUGAACACAUUCAGCAAAGCAAAGUUAUAAGGUAGUUUUACCUUGAUAAAAAUAGUUGAUAUGCUUCCUUGGUCUAAAGCCUUAGGAUGAGUAAUUUUAGGGUUUGAAGUGAAGGUAAGGGAUCUACUUUCAGUUGAGAAUAAUUGUUGCUUGCGUUUCUCAAAUCUGAAGAAAGUGAAACUUAAUACUGCAUUUUCAAAUGCCAUUGGGCUAGUUGUCCAAAUGAUCAAGUAUUUACCUAAUAGUGCAAAAGGUUAGGGUAACUAUAUUAUUCUUCUUACCUUUCUCUGAAUCAGAAUUACUUUCUUGUCAAGUUUAAACCUAGUUCAAUGCUAGGCCAUAUGUAUGCCAUCAAGUUCUUGCUUAGAUCAAGCUUAAGCUUUUAUUGUAUUUUUUACUAAUUUACUCUGCCCCAUUCCUUGAGCACUUCCAUAAUUUUCAAGCACCAACUAGUGUUUGCUUGCUUGUAAGAUUAUUGGAAUAAUGAUCAAACCCAUACCUUACAUUUGUUUAGGAGACUAGGACCAGAAGUGAGCUUUCAUAUUGUUGCAUCACACGUCUUGCAAUGGAAGUAUACAACAACAACAACUAAGUCUUAA